ACGGAGGGUGCAAGCGUUAUUCGGAAUUACUGGGCGUAAAGGGCGUGUAGGCGGCCGUGCAAGUCUGAUGUGAAAGCCCGGGGCUUAACCCUGGGAGGGCAUGGGAAACUGCCUUUCUUGAGUUCUGGAGAGGAAGGGAGAAUUCCCGGUGUAGAGGUGAAAUUCGUAGAGAUCGGGAGGAACAUCAGCGGCGCAGGCGCCCUACUGGACAGCAUCUGACGCUAAGACGCGAAAGCGUGGGGAGCAAACAG
RNAcentral lists this ribosomal RNA (251 nucleotides) under uncultured prokaryote. RNAcentral's name for it is "partial 16S rRNA". It matches the Rfam family "Bacterial small subunit ribosomal RNA", at positions 525 to 775 of the family's 1533-position model. The record is from RNAcentral.